This 465-nucleotide ribosomal RNA is filed under the name Vreelandella stevensii. RNAcentral describes it as "partial 16S ribosomal RNA". It matches the Rfam family "Bacterial small subunit ribosomal RNA", at positions 338 to 795 of the family's 1533-position model. Lineage: Bacteria; Pseudomonadati; Pseudomonadota; Gammaproteobacteria; Oceanospirillales; Halomonadaceae. The record is from RNAcentral.
CCUACGGGGUGCAGCAGUGGGGAAUAUUGGACAAUGGGCGAAAGCCUGAUCCAGCCAUGCCGCGUGUGUGAAGAAGGCCUUCGGGUUGUAAAGCACUUUCAGUGGGGAAGAAAGCCUUGGGGCUAAUACCCUCGAGGAAGGACAUCACCCACAGAAGAAGCACCGGCUAACUCCGUGCCAGCAGCCGCGGUAAUACGGAGGGUGCGAGCGUUAAUCGGAAUUACUGGGCGUAAAGCGCGCGUAGGCGGUCUGAUAAGCCGGUUGUGAAAGCCCCGGGCUCAACCUGGGAACGGCAUCCGGAACUGUCAGGCUAGAGUGCAGGAGAGGAAGGUAGAAUUCCCGGUGUAGCGGUGAAAUGCGUAGAGAUCGGGAGGAAUACCAGUGGCGAAGGCGGCCUUCUGGACUGACACUGACGCUGAGGUGCGAAAGCGUGGGUAGCAAACAGGAUUAGAUACCCGAGUGGUC